This 438-nucleotide ribosomal RNA is filed under the name uncultured bacterium. RNAcentral describes it as "partial 16S ribosomal RNA". It matches the Rfam family "Bacterial small subunit ribosomal RNA", at positions 339 to 795 of the family's 1533-position model. The record is from RNAcentral.
CUACGGGCGGCUCCAGUGAGGAAUAUUGCACAAUGGGGGGAACCCUGAUGCAGCAACGCCGCGUGGAGGAUGACGCAUUUCGGUGUGUAAACUCCUUUUAUAUGUCAAGAAAAUGACGGUAGCAUAUGAAUAAGCACCGGCUAACUCCGUGCCAGCAGCCGCGGUAAUACGGAGGGUGCAAGCGUUACUCGGAAUCACUGGGCGUAAAGGACGCGUGGGCGGGUUGGAAAGUCAGGUGUGAAAUCCUACAGCUUAACUGUAGAACUGCACUUGAAACUUCUAUCUAGAGUAUGGGAGGGGGAGAUGGAAUUAGUGGUGUAGGGGUAAAAUCCGUAGAUAUCACUAGGAAUACCUAAAGCGAAGGCGAUCUCCUGGAACAUUACUGACGCUAAGGCGUGAAAGCGUGGGGAGCAAACAGGAUUAGAUACCCCGGUAGUC